UCCUUACACGAAUGACCCAGUGCGUGUUGUCUUCUUUUCAACCCUAGUCCCUCUGCUCGGCUUGGGAUACACGGUGACACUGGUGUUCCCGACAUCUUGAGGUCCCACUGAGAUGGAGAAAGAGGAUUGGAUGAAGGGUCAUCCCGGGAGGCUGGUCAGCUGAUUGAUGUGCUUAGAAGAAACGUGAAUGUUUUACCAACUUGGCUAAUAACAUCCCAGGUGCAAUUCAUUGUUUAUCAACUUCAAUCGCCUGAAUUCCACUGACCCAGAACAGUGGCAAGAAUCUAACAAGCAUGAAUCAUGAAUCUGUUGCAUCCAACCUGCUCUGCUACAAUGACUGGUACUCCUCCCCGAGAGAGCCUGGAGGCCAGUCCCCACACAAAGCCAUUACCAAAGGACCUGUGACUUCCUGGUGCUGAUUUGACUGGGAUGAUGAGUAAAGCAGGAGAUUGUGGAAAGGUGCAAACCUGACUAUGGCACAGGAGUAGGAAGCUGGGACUCGGAGUAAGGUAAGACUCCAGCCGUGCAUUCCAAGCCCCCAGCUGCUUCUUUUCUAGGAUGCCAUAACUUAAUGCAAAUCAAGAAAGAGGGCAGGGCUAUGCAAACGCCUC
Ochotona curzoniae (black-lipped pika) is the source of this 611-nucleotide long non-coding RNA. RefSeq lists it as uncharacterized. Lineage: Eukaryota; Metazoa; Chordata; Mammalia; Lagomorpha; Ochotonidae. The record is from RefSeq and is a predicted model, not a curated record. The transcript is spliced from 3 exons.